Molecule: ribosomal RNA, 398 nt
Filed under: uncultured eukaryote
Lineage: Eukaryota
Description: partial 18S ribosomal RNA
Rfam family: Eukaryotic small subunit ribosomal RNA
Source: RNAcentral
CAAUAGCGUAUAUUAAUGUUGUUGCAGUUAAAAAGCUCGUAGUUGGAUUUCUGGUGGGAGCGGUUGGUCUGCCCCGCGAGGGGUAGUAACUGAGCCGUAUCCGGCCCUUUUCGGGUUGACCGUGGCUGGCAUUAAUUUGUCGGUGCGGGAGGCCCGUCGUUUACUGUGAACAAAUUAGAGUGUUCAAAGCAAAGUGUUUUUGAAUAUAUCAGCAUGGAAUAAUGAGAUAGGACUUUGGUGGUUCGUGCUCUCGGGUACGAUAUUUUGUUGGUUUGCACGCCAAAGUAAUGAUUAAUAGGAGCAGUUGGGGGUAUUCGUAUUCAAUUGUCAGAGGUGAAAUUCUUGGAUUUCUAGAAGACGAACUACUGCGAAAGCAUUUACCAAGGAUGUUUUCAUUA